GAUGAAGAACGUAGCGAAAUGCGAUAAGUAAUGUGAAUUGCAGAAUUCAGUGAAUCAUCGAAUCUUUGAACGCACCUUGCGCUCCUUGGUAUUCCGAGGAGCAUGCCUGUUUGAGUGUCGUGAAAUUCUCAACCUCUCUGGUUUUUAUAAGCUAGUUAGGCUUGGAUUUUGGAGGUUGCUGGUUUCUCAGAAAUCAGCUCUUCUUAAAUAUAUUAGCAAAGUCUUUGCUGACCAUCUUUGGUAUGAUAAUUAUCUAUAUCAUUGAGAAUCAGCUUCCGUCUCGGAAGGAUUUUGCUUCUAAUGGUCUAUAUAGACAACUUGACAAUUUGACCUCAAAUCAGGUAGGAUUACCCGCUGAACUUAAGCAUAUCAAUAAGCGGAGGA
Molecule: unclassified non-coding RNA, 384 nt
Filed under: soil metagenome
Description: partial contains 5.8S ribosomal RNA, internal transcribed spacer 2, and large subunit ribosomal RNA
Rfam family: 5.8S ribosomal RNA (bases 1-120)
Source: RNAcentral